RNAcentral lists this long non-coding RNA (363 nucleotides) under Musa acuminata (dwarf banana). RNAcentral's name for it is "long non-coding RNA (MACU_LNC001413)". The record is from RNAcentral. Lineage: Eukaryota; Viridiplantae; Streptophyta; Magnoliopsida; Zingiberales; Musaceae.
AGGAAGGAAAAAAAGAGGGGGUGGGUGGGGGAGAACUGCAAAAUGCAUAUGCCUUCAAUCUGCUUGUCACCAUUAAUUUCUCUUUCUGCAGGUUAACAAAUGGUACAUGGAAUUAGCACUUCUUACUUUCCAUGUGAUUUCUUGUGAUCUUUUCUUUUAUGAGUUUCUAAAUCCAAAAUAGCUUGUAAGGAUUUGCAGUAUCAUUCCUAAGCUUGGCAUUCUUAUGCUCUUUGAUGGCCUUUCACAGCAAAGUCUGUUCAUGGAAAGAGAAGAAAGUGCAAGCACAAGAGAUAGCAUUCUGUAGGAGAACUUUCCACUAGCACUAAAGAGAAGAACAAGGCUUCAUCCUUCGAAAGAAGAAGA